This 198-nucleotide unclassified non-coding RNA is filed under the name uncultured Monascella. RNAcentral describes it as "sequence contains ITS1". Lineage: Eukaryota; Fungi; Ascomycota; Eurotiomycetes; Onygenales; Onygenaceae. The record is from RNAcentral.
CAAAAAGAUUGGUAUGCCUCGCGCAUGUCCGCUCUUUAAACCCACACCUGAGUACCUUUCCUGUUGCUUCCGCGGAGCGGGCCACGUCCCGCCGGUAGGGGUGAAACAUCCCCUGUCGGAGAGCCUCCGCGGGAGGUACACAUCAAACCCUUUUGCAUUGCCAUGUCGUCUGUCUGAUACUGUUUAUAACAAAUGUUA